GGUCUCGCUAUACAGUUCAGGCUGGCCUUGAGUUCACUUUGUAGCCCAGGCUGGCCUCGAACUCACAACAAUUCUCCUGCCUCAGCCUCCCGAGUGCUGGGAGUACAGGCAUGAGCCACCAUGCCCG
Molecule: microRNA precursor, 127 nt
Filed under: Cavia porcellus (domestic guinea pig)
Lineage: Eukaryota; Metazoa; Chordata; Mammalia; Rodentia; Caviidae
Description: miRNA (ENSCPOG00000036389.1)
Source: RNAcentral